RNAcentral lists this long non-coding RNA (232 nucleotides) under Sorghum bicolor (sorghum). RNAcentral describes it as "long non-coding RNA (SBIC_LNC009349)". The record is from RNAcentral. Lineage: Eukaryota; Viridiplantae; Streptophyta; Magnoliopsida; Poales; Poaceae.
AUCCUUUGCCUCAUCUCUACUAAUCUUUCUUCUUAUCUAAUCCUUGAUCUCUGGUCUAUCAUGAAUUCAAACAUGUCUAUCUAUGAAUUUCAUAGACCUAUGGGCACACAUCUCGAACCACCAAAAUCUUCAAAGCCUAUCAUAGCAUCUAGUUUUGAGAUAGACCCCGAAUACAUAGAAUUUGUUCAAAAACAACCUUUCUCAGGAGAAGGUGAGGAAAACCCAUACACAC